This 393-nucleotide ribosomal RNA is filed under the name uncultured bacterium. RNAcentral describes it as "partial 16S ribosomal RNA". It matches the Rfam family "Bacterial small subunit ribosomal RNA", at positions 523 to 918 of the family's 1533-position model. The record is from RNAcentral.
AUACGGAGGAUCCGAGCGUUAUCCGGAUUUAUUGGGUUUAAAGGGAGCGUAGAUGGAUGUUUAAGUCAGUUGUGAAAGUUUGCGGCUCAACCGUAAAAUUGCAGUUGAUACUGGAUAUCUUGAGUGCAGUUGAGGCAGGCGGAAUUCGUGGUGUCGCGGUGAAAUGCUUAGAUAUCACGAAGAACUCCGAUUGCGAAGGCAGCCUGCUAAGCUGCAACUGACAUUGAGGCUCGAAAGUGUGGGUAUCAAACAGGAUUAGAUACCCUGGUAGUCCACACGGUAAACGAUGAAUACUCGCUGUUUGCGAUAUACAGCAAGCGGCCAAGCGAAAGCGUUAAGUAUUCCACCUGGGGAGUACGCCGGCAACGGUGAAACUCAAAGGAAUUGACGGGG